RNAcentral lists this ribosomal RNA (867 nucleotides) under Acinetobacter sp. RNAcentral describes it as "bacterial SSU rRNA". It matches the Rfam family "Bacterial small subunit ribosomal RNA", at positions 66 to 921 of the family's 1533-position model. The record is from RNAcentral. Lineage: Bacteria; Pseudomonadati; Pseudomonadota; Gammaproteobacteria; Moraxellales; Moraxellaceae.
CGGGGAGAAGAAGGUAGCUUAGCUACUGAUCUUAGCGGCGGACGGGUGAGUAAUGCUUAGGAAUCUGCCUAUUAGUGGGGGACAACAUUUCGAAAGGAAUGCUAAUACCGCAUACGUCCUACGGGAGAAAGCAGGGGAUCUUCGGACCUUGCGCUAAUAGAUGAGCCUAAGUCGGAUUAGCUAGUUGGUGGGGUAAAGGCCUACCAAGGCGACGAUCUGUAGCGGGUCUGAGAGGAUGAUCCGCCACACUGGGACUGAGACACGGCCCAGACUCCUACGGGAGGCAGCAGUGGGGAAUAUUGGACAAUGGGCGCAAGCCUGAUCCAGCCAUGCCGCGUGUGUGAAGAAGGCCUUAUGGUUGUAAAGCACUUUAAGCGAGGAGGAGGCUACUUUAGUUAAUACCUAGAGAUAGUGGACGUUACUCGCAGAAUAAGCACCGGCUAACUCUGUGCCAGCAGCCGCGGUAAUACAGAGGGUGCAAGCGUUAAUCGGAUUUACUGGGCGUAAAGCGCGCGUAGGCGGCUAAUUAAGUCAAAUGUGAAAUCCCCGAGCUUAACUUGGGAAUUGCAUUCGAUACUGGUUAGCUAGAGUGUGGGAGAGGAUGGUAGAAUUCCAGGUGUAGCGGUGAAAUGCGUAGAGAUCUGGAGGAAUACCGAUGGCGAAGGCAGCCAUCUGGCCUAACACUGACGCUGAGGUGCGAAAGCAUGGGGAGCAAACAGGAUUAGAUACCCUGGUAGUCCAUGCCGUAAACGAUGUCUACUAGCCGUUGGGGCCUUUGAGGCUUUAGUGGCGCAGCUAACGCGAUAAGUAGACCGCCUGGGGAGUACGGUCGCAAGACUAAAAACUCAAAUGAAAUUGACGGGGGCC